This 1971-nucleotide unclassified non-coding RNA is filed under the name Hevea brasiliensis (rubber tree). The record is from RNAcentral. Lineage: Eukaryota; Viridiplantae; Streptophyta; Magnoliopsida; Malpighiales; Euphorbiaceae.
UGAAUUUGAGAUCUAGGUAUCGUUGUCUAGAAACUCUUCAAACAACAUUCUUGACUUCUCUGUUUUGGGCUUUGAACAUUAAAUCCAUACAUAAAUCAAUCUUUGCAUGUGUAUUGAUUGAACUUGUUGCGACUUUGGUGUAUUGAAUAUGAGAUUUGGGUGUAUAUUGUUUAUAUUGCAGGUAUAUUGAAUCUGUUGUGAUUUGUGAUGAUUUGUAGUUGUAUUUAUAUUAAAUUUGUAUGAAUUAUUGAAUGUGUUAGGGGAUUUGCAAUUUGUGGCAACAAAUUAUAGAUUUGUGAUUUGAGGCGGCAAAUUGGGGAAAAAUUUAAGGAUUUUUUAUUUGGGAAGUUUGAGAGCAAACCGAUGGUUUUGAACCGAACCGAAAUAAUUCGGUUUGAUUUGGUUCCUCUCUUAAAUUAGUUCAGUCUGGUUGUUUUUUAAUGUGAAAUUUGAUUUUUGGUUUGAGAAGUUCUGUUCGUUCGGUUUAAACUGAAUGCCCAGCCCUAGAUGCUCAUGAUAAGAUAAAAGCAUUGUUUGAAUUAUGGGCAGAUGCUUUGGAGUCUGAAAUUAGAUACUUCUGGUUGCAACCCCUCUUCCAUGGCCCCCUUCCUGGAUAUAUGUAAACGAUAAUAUGAGAAUGCAUUCUUGUGAUCAUUAAUUGCAUGAAAUCUAAAUCUUUUCUGUGAAUAUGUGGGUGUACAUAUGACUUGUGAAAGUUAAUGAUUAGGCAACAAUAUUUUUUUUUUGAGCUGUGUUUUGAAACACUCUGUGGAUAGGAUAUUUUGAAAAAUGGACAACCUGAAAAUAUUAUUUCCAUGAAACAAUAAUUUAUAUGCUUUUAAAACUCCUUGGUUCUUGGAUAGUUCAGUGCUUGGAGAUACAUUUGAACUGUAUUUUAAAUUGUACAAUCAGUUCUUAAGGGGUCUAUAUGUAUUCUGGUUGAGUGAGUCCAAAAAAUUUUAAAUUCCUUAUGUGAUACUCUCUACAAUUUAAUUAUAAUGGUCCUAUAGGUUUUGGACACAAGUGGAAGUUUCAGAUGUGGAAUGAAAAAUGUAUGUGCUCAACCUGCUUAUGGUGGUGUAAAAGACAUUCUUACAAGUGUCUACAAGGAAGGGGGAACACGUGCACUGUAUCGAGGAGUAGGUGAGUUUGCUUGUUUUCUUAAUCAUUAUAUUUCAGAGUGGUUUGAAAAAACUUGUAACUGUGUUGAAUUGGGGCCAGGCUAAAGAGUUCCAGUAAUAGUUAAAAGGGCUUGUGCCAACAGGCGUAUCCCUUAUCUUAUGCUCAACUACUCUUUGGUCAGCCUUGGUUUUAGCAAAGCCCAACCUAAUCCUGACAUGAUUACUUGGCAUUAAAUAUAUGGCCAGGCGCAGGCAUUGAUAACAGCUCAAAGCUUGGGAUGGGCUUGGGGUAGAGACAAUGGACUAACCUGUUGAUCCUUAAUUUGGGUCUAGGCUUUGGCUAAGCCAUGCUCAUGCCCCCUCUAUCUAUGUUAACACUAAUGGUUAAAUAGUUUAUGAAGAAUUUUCUCAUUUUGAUGAAGUUUCAUGAUUUUCAGAAAUAUCUGUUUUCCUUGUUAACGCUGAUCUUGAUUAUUUAGUGAAAUAUGUGCAUGUGUGUGACUUUCCCCCAAUGUCAAUUGGUUAGUUAAUGUUCAAUCUUUAAUAUUGGAAUAUUUACAUGAUCAGCCCCAGUAUAAAAUGUAUGAUUUCAGUUUCAGUUAUGGUUUGUUAUGUAUUUUCAUUGAUGCAAUUGCUUGAAAAAAGCAACCUCUAAAAAUGUUGAUUACUAGCAAUUAAAAAACAAAGGCAUGUUUGGCAUGUUUUGGUUAUAAAACCCAUAAAACAGUUCAAAAGUAGUUAGAGGUUGCUUUUUGAAAAAAGCAUCUAAAAGUCCCUCCUUUUCUGAAUGCAGUCAGAAGCACUGCCAAAUGGACCAUUAGCGGUAAUGAUGAAGUUUUGUUUGUUGAGC